GAUGCCUUGCAGCUGUGCCACCUGCUGAUGGCUCUAUUUAAGCUUCAGGUGGCAGUUCCUCUUCAGUUCAGGCCAGAAUCAUGAGAGGUGUUUCAAUCCUGGUGGUUUGUGCAGUGGUGCUGUGGCUUAAAGCUACCUGCUUACCAAUUGAUCAAGAUGGAGGACAUGAGCACAACUUGAUGUCACCGAAUGACAUUUCUUUGAGAAAUAAAAUGGUCAAUCUCCAGUCACUGAAAUCCAUGUUGCUGCGAAACGCCAAAGAAGUACAACUGGAAACCAUUGAAGUGGAAAGGAUCAUUGCUCGUGCUGCUC
This is a long non-coding RNA of Fundulus heteroclitus (mummichog), 312 nucleotides long. RefSeq lists it as uncharacterized. The record is from RefSeq and is a predicted model, not a curated record. The transcript is spliced from 4 exons. NCBI's taxonomy places the organism in Eukaryota, Metazoa, Chordata, Actinopteri, Cyprinodontiformes, Fundulidae.